Rhipicephalus microplus (southern cattle tick) is the source of this 486-nucleotide long non-coding RNA. NCBI's taxonomy places the organism in Eukaryota, Metazoa, Arthropoda, Arachnida, Ixodida, Ixodidae. The record is from RefSeq and is a predicted model, not a curated record.
AGCACGUGUUCAAGAACGCUUUGAAGAGUUCAGGAAGUUAGCACUUCUCUAGGAGCCCUAAUCGUGCCUGUUCUGUGGUGCGGUGAAGUCCCGAGGGAAUCUUCUGACCUGUGGCUAAACAGUUAGACUCAUGGAAGUCAUGGACGACGAAGUGAGAAUGAGCCUGCUUGAAAAACUUCAACGACAAGAGGAUCAAUUCAUUGCCAACUUAAAAUUAAAUAAAUAUGAGGAUGGCCGGAAAGAAGAAACGAGGCAAAAGAAAAUUAUGACUCCGCCUUGGCUGACUCUAGGAUCGCUUCAAAGCUCAAGCCUAUAACUACGUGAAAGCAAUGACAAAAUGUGAUGGAGUCAGACUUUGUUCAAAGCUUUUACGAGUCCUCGACCUUUGGAGAGCAGUUUGAGCUGCUGUUUGGAGACACAGUCAGCCAGCCUGAGUGGAAUGCCAGUGGUCAAUACACUCCCAGCAGUGUUUCAGUAGGUCAAAUU